AACACUCCGGAAUCCCUAGUGAAACUAUUAAAUACAAACAACUGCCACUGUAAUGCUAAAUUUCAGGCAAAUCUUAUGAAAACAAAGAUCAGAAGCCGACUGUAAACCAACACAUUGACGGUAGCACCUCUUGCCUCAGAAUGUAUUAAAGAGGGUCCAGAAAACAAUGGCACACGCGUAACUUUUCAUCCAGCACAUGAAAUGAUCCAGAAAAUGACUUUGGCUUCUCUGUACAAAACGAAAAAGGAAGAAGAGGAAGGGGACUUCGAAUUCGAGUCACAGCAAGCUGUUCUCGCCCGUGAUCGGGGACCGCUCACAUGCGUGCGGGACACCGUCUUGGUUGUGUGCUGUGACUGGGCACCCGACUGCGGCGAGCUUGUGGGCACGUGAAGUGACCAGCUGGGGCGUGACGUCAUGAGGACCUACAGCUGCACUCCAAUCCCAUCUCGGAUAUGGCAGUUCGUGAAAACGCUCUAGUUCUAAUUUAAUCCACAUGAAAUUAG
Molecule: long non-coding RNA, 503 nt
Organism: Schistocerca americana (American grasshopper)
Lineage: Eukaryota; Metazoa; Arthropoda; Insecta; Orthoptera; Acrididae
Exons: 2
Source: RefSeq, a predicted model, not a curated record